Micropterus salmoides (largemouth bass) is the source of this 480-nucleotide long non-coding RNA. RefSeq lists it as uncharacterized. NCBI's taxonomy places the organism in Eukaryota, Metazoa, Chordata, Actinopteri, Centrarchiformes, Centrarchidae. The transcript has 2 exons. The record is from RefSeq and is a predicted model, not a curated record.
AGCAAGCAGGGCGGUCGCUGGAUCCAGGGGGAAUCACGAGUUUCCUCAGUAAUAGGGGCUGCGCAGUGCCUAAUAUCCCAUCAGGCUACACCCGAGUGUCCCAGUAUCAGUCCUGGAUCAACAGUCAGAUUACCAUCAACCAGCCGGGCUAUUACACCUUCAUGUCCGCUGGGACUGACGGUGACCUCAGCGUCACCUGUUCUCCACCAAGAACUGCACGCUAACAGUGAUCUGGUGGUGAGCAGGGCGGCUCUCGGUUCCAGGCAGCGGGGUUAAUAGGUGGAAACAAGGCCUCCAACACCACCACCUUCCUGGUUAAUCUCCAGCCUCCAUCAGCAACACCAACAGCACCAGCACAGCUGCCGCCAACAUACCGACUACCAGCGGAGGCGCUCCUGCUCACUCCCCCUUCUUCUUCUUCUUCAUCCAUCUCCUCAUCUUCUCUGUGUGAGAGAUUCUGGAUGGAAACUGCUUUCUCUC